UGGGGGAUAUUGCACAAUGGGCGAAAGCCUGAUGCAGCGACGCCGCGUGGGGGAUGAAGGCUUUCGGGUUGUAAACCUCUUUCGCUAUCGAACAAGGCCCGCUUAGGGUGGGUUGAGGGUAGGUGGAGAAGAAGCGCCGGCUAACUACGUGCCAGCAGCCGCGGUAAUACGUAGGGCGCGAGCGUUGUCCGGAAUUAUUGGGCGGAAGGGGCUUGUAGGCGGCGUGUUGCGCGUGCUGUGAAAACGCGGGGCUUAACUUCGCGCGUGCAGUGGGUACGGGAGGGCUUGAGUGUGGUAGGGGUGACUGGAGUUCCAGGUGUAGCGGUGGGAUGCGCAGAGAUCUGGAGGAGCACCGAUGGCGAAGGCAGGUCACUGGGCCAUUACUGACGCUGAGGAGCGAAAGCAUGGGUAGCGAACAGG
This 420-nucleotide ribosomal RNA is filed under the name bacterium. RNAcentral describes it as "partial 16S ribosomal RNA". It matches the Rfam family "Bacterial small subunit ribosomal RNA", at positions 355 to 776 of the family's 1533-position model. The record is from RNAcentral.